GAGGCUGUGUGGAAUGCUGACCUGUCUACAUCAAGCUACCCAGUGGUAGAGAAAACACCAAUGAAUCUACUCUGGGCCCAGCUGGGCGGGUACCCAGAUAUUCCCAAACUGCUGCAGUUAGAUAUUCAGUCGACCUUAAGAAAAUCUCUUGCCUCCAUCUGCCCACGGUCUAAGAAGAUUCGAAAGUGAACACAAAACUAAAAGACAAGCACGUAGAAAUCAAAUUUCAAUGUUUCAGUAAAACGUUGGUUUUUGGCUUUUUGUCUUACAUAAAAUAUUAAUUAUUAUGUUUA
RNAcentral lists this long non-coding RNA (293 nucleotides) under Rattus norvegicus (Norway rat). RNAcentral describes it as "long non-coding RNA NONRATT031230". The record is from RNAcentral. Lineage: Eukaryota; Metazoa; Chordata; Mammalia; Rodentia; Muridae.